This 922-nucleotide ribosomal RNA is filed under the name Bacillus licheniformis. RNAcentral's name for it is "bacterial SSU rRNA". It matches the Rfam family "Bacterial small subunit ribosomal RNA", at positions 32 to 936 of the family's 1533-position model. The record is from RNAcentral. Lineage: Bacteria; Bacillati; Bacillota; Bacilli; Caryophanales; Bacillaceae.
GGGGAGGGCGGCUGCCUAUACAUGCAAGUCGAGCGGACCGACGGGAGCUUGCUCCCUUAGGUCAGCGGCGGACGGGUGAGUAACACGUGGGUAACCUGCCUGUAAGACUGGGAUAACUCCGGGAAACCGGGGCUAAUACCGGAUGCUUGAUUGAACCGCAUGGUUCAAUCAUAAAAGGUGGCUUUUAGCUACCACUUACAGAUGGACCCGCGGCGCAUUAGCUAGUUGGUGAGGUAACGGCUCACCAAGGCGACGAUGCGUAGCCGACCUGAGAGGGUGAUCGGCCACACUGGGACUGAGACACGGCCCAGACUCCUACGGGAGGCAGCAGUAGGGAAUCUUCCGCAAUGGACGAAAGUCUGACGGAGCAACGCCGCGUGAGUGAUGAAGGUUUUCGGAUCGUAAAACUCUGUUGUUAGGGAAGAACAAGUACCGUUCGAAUAGGGCGGCACCUUGACGGUACCUAACCAGAAAGCCACGGCUAACUACGUGCCAGCAGCCGCGGUAAUACGUAGGUGGCAAGCGUUGUCCGGAAUUAUUGGGCGUAAAGCGCGCGCAGGCGGUUUCUUAAGUCUGAUGUGAAAGCCCCCGGCUCAACCGGGGAGGGUCAUUGGAAACUGGGGAACUUGAGUGCAGAAGAGGAGAGUGGAAUUCCACGUGUAGCGGUGAAAUGCGUAGAGAUGUGGAGGAACACCAGUGGCGAAGGCGACUCUCUGGUCUGUAACUGACGCUGAGGCGCGAAAGCGUGGGGAGCGAACAGGAUUAGAUACCCUGGUAGUCCACGCCGUAAACGAUGAGUGCUAAGUGUUAGAGGGUUUCCGCCCUUUAGUGCUGCAGCAAACGCAUUAAGCACUCCGCCUGGGGAGUACGGUCGCAAGACUGAAACUCAAAGGAAUUGACGGGGGCCCGCACAACCGGUGGA